RNA transcript from Cryptotermes secundus, 10545 nucleotides. It is a transcript of the gene named tyrosine-protein kinase Dnt, with no coding region annotated. The transcript is spliced from 11 exons. NCBI's taxonomy places the organism in Eukaryota, Metazoa, Arthropoda, Insecta, Blattodea, Kalotermitidae. The record is from RefSeq and is a predicted model, not a curated record.
UUUGGUCCCUCUAGUGCAGUCAGUUUAGUUCAGAGCUGCAAGGGAAGUAGUCAGUUUCCCGCGUCUUGUCUGCAUUUUCAUCCGCACACACGAAUUAUUAUUAAGCCUAGUCGCAUGUGACCACUGUAGUGCUGCCGUUAAAUAUAUGUCAGUUCAUAAGUUGAAAGUUGGGUGUUGACGGUGUCAACAUGGGCAUUGGAGCUUCUCACUGUUGUGUAAGAAAAUUCGGAUUCUAGGAAUUAAGAUGUUGCAGUGAACGAUUUGAAUCGUAGAACUUGUUAAUAAUUGGAACAGACUUGGGUCAGUAUGGUUCUUUCUUAAAGUAAAAUAAAUAUGUUUUUGAGCGUAACACUCCAUGGCCAUCUUCCGUAAUGCGGAAGUGUUCGUGGAGUUUCCGAGAAAAAACGGAACGAAUGUUAAAAGACUUGUGCUGAGAACAACAAUGCAGUGCAGUGCUACAAUGACAGCUUCAUGUUGCUGGGUGAAAGCUGUAUUAUUUGUGAUGUGCCUAGUGGACCUGUGUUAUGGUAACCUUAACCUGUACCUCAGUCAGUGGGAAGUCAGGCGAUUGCUUGGCCUGCAGGCGGAGCUGUUCUACGUCAGGGAGGGGGUCAUUAAUGAGUACGCCCUCAACUUCGUGGUUCCGGUUCCGGCGCACAUCAACGACCUUCACUUCACGUGGCAGAGCCUAGCUGGUCGACCGCUGCCGUACCACAUUGCUGUGGACGUGUCCAACAGGGAGGCGCUAGACACACCUCGCCUCAACGUGUCUGCGGAAGGCAACGUUCCUACCACACCUCAGACGUUUCGCGUCGCACUACCAUGCAGUGGCGUGAAGGAUGCCGAAGUAAACGUGACACUGAGCAUCAACAUCACGCUGCACCGUGCGUCCAACAAUGUUACGUCGUUAGUUUUCAAGCGUCGCAAGAUCUGCCUCAAAGAUAACGGUUUUGGCGGAAUGAGUCAAGUUGUGGUUGUGGAUUCUCCGCCAGCUGAGAUCACUUCUGCCAGCAUAUUCUAUAUCGCCGUGGGAUGCGCAUGCGCACUUAUAACAGUUAUCGUCAUCGUGGUCACAGCCUACUACGUUCGCAACAAUAAAGCGAGAAGACAAGGCGAAAUGUUGCAGGAAUCCCGGAACGGUUCGAGCAGCAGUGCCCAAGGCCACGCGACCUUCCUAACGGCGGACACGCCGCUUCCCAACAACAACUUCACCGGCACCUCGGCCUCCAGCUGCAAGUCCGGGGCGAGCUACGUCAGCUUCAAGAGGCUGCCCAGUUACACUGUCCUGGACGAUCGGGCGGGAAAGGACAUCCACGAGCGCAUCGCUGAGCUCACAAUACAGAGGUGUCGAGUGCGGCUGCGCAGUGUCGUGCUCGAAGGCACCUUUGGCCGUGUGUACCGCGGUACAUAUACUGAAGAAGAGGGCGUCGAAGAAGACGUUCUGGUUAAGACUGUCACUGAUCAUGCAAGUCAAGUACAGGUGUCCUUGCUGCUUCAAGAAGGGAUGACCAUGUACAGCCUGAGUCAUAAGAAUGUUCUCUCCGUUCUUGGGGUAUCCAUUGAGGACCACACAGCCCCAUUCCUUAUCUACCCACAUCGGGGAGAUUCAAAUUUAAAGAGGUUCCUUCAGACCUGUAAGCUGAGUGCCGAGGGGGUGGCACGAGUCCUGACUACCCAGGAGGUGGUUGCAAUGGCACUGCAAGUGGUGCAUGCCAUGCAGUUCCUGCACAAGAAGAGACUGCUGCAUCGCGAUCUGGCGACACGGAACUGCAUGGUGGACCAGCAGCUUAAGGUGCAGGUGGCUGACAAUGCUUUAUCCCGUGACCUGUUCCCAGCAGACUAUCACUGUUUGGGUGACAAUGAGAAUCGCCCAGUCAAGUGGCUCGCCAUUGAGAGUCUGGUGCACGCAAAUUUCUCCACAGCAUCUGAUGUGUGGUCAUUUGGUGUUCUGCUGUGGGAGCUUACAACUCUUGCCCAACAGCCAUAUGUGGAGGUGGACCCCUUUGAAAUGGCAGCCUACUUGAGGGAUGGAUACCGUCUUGCACAGCCAAUUAACUGCCCUGAUGAACUGUUUGCUGUGAUGGCGUACUGCUGGGCAAUGAGUGCAGAUGAGCGACCAACUUUCACGCAGCUUCACAUCUGUUUACAAGAAUUCUACACCCAACUCACACGCUAUGUGUAAUAACAUUUUUUUGUAAGAGUCAUAACUCUGCUACAGGAUAGUCUACAGUGGAUAUUCUCAGCCCGUAACCUACUUGAGGAAAGAACAGAAGUUACAGGAAUAAUGCUGGCAGAUAUUCACACCAGCAACAUUCAAGAUCCACUUAGCAUUCUACACUGCCAUACCUACAGUAAACCAGUGCCAUGUGGAAGGUUUCUACAUGAAGCUGAAGCAGAAAUGUAACUGAUGCAGUAAGAGACUAGUCACAGCUUCUGCAUGUAAUUUGAAAUAGUCUGAAUGGAAAAAGAGAAAGACGUGUGGAUGAUGUAUGUUCCUCGUAUCCAUGAUCAUUACAAGCAUUGAAAGUAAGAAAACAUAUAAGGGUGUAGUUUAAAUUUUAAUUUACUACAAUUCCUAGGUAAAAUAGAUUAUUUAUUCUCAAUACAGUAAAACCUACUUAUAAUGGAAUCCCAUAAGAUAUCAUUUUUCUCUUGCAGACAGGUUAUUCUUUAAUAGCUGCUUACUUCUAGAAAAAAAUUUGCAUUGUGUACUGUAUUUAUGAUCUUAAUCAUAAGUAAGGAAUUCUUGCUACACAGUGUCUGUCCACCACACUGUCGUUGAGAAGUAUGUAUUUUCAUUUUUUAUCUUUCCUUCCUUCCCUUGCUUUUUUGUUUCCUUUCCUUUUCUUCCAUGUGCAGCCAUCCAAGCGUGAAAUUUGCGUUAUUAAGUGGUGAUAACACAAUUUCACUGCUGAAUUAUCUCUGAAAGGGUGGGAUAUAUUGACCUUGAGGUGGAGGUAGGAACUGGGAAUUAGAUGAAGUUUAGUUGUGUGCCAGUGAAUAAAUUCACAAGAAUUGUUUUAAUUAUGUUCUAGCUGUUGCAAUUUCACAUGUAAUUUAGAUUGGUUAGGUCUGGUAGAAACACUUUUCUAUUCUCAGUUUUGUGUAAAAGUGGUAACUCAGAUAUCUGGGAACCACACAUUAAUGCUAUUGCAUUAACCAUUAUGGAAAUGACAACACUCUUAACUUUCAUGUGUAGUGUUUUUUUAUUGUGGUGUUAGUAACUGUAGUAGUCACAAAAUUUGAAUAUUUAUGGUAGGCCAUACUUUAAACUUUAUAUAAUGUUUAUAUGAAGGUUUACUUAUUCCCAGAUUUUUUAUCGAUUUAUUUUACCUAGUUGCUAAUAGUUGAGUUGUAGACUGGCCACUGAUCACACAUUUACACUCUGUAUUUGUCAGUCAACACCAAGCUCCUUCUUAUGACAAGUUCAUGAAUAGGAAUAUCAAGGUCAGGUGAAGGAAAAGCAGGGAACAGGUGUUAAAUUGGUCUCAGAAGGAAUUUUAUCUUUGAUGAUGUAAGUGCAUUGGGUUUCUCGCUUUUGAUAUGUAAACUUAGAUGAUUAGCUUCAGAAAAUCUAUUGACUCUAGUCUGAAGGUGUGUUUUAAUUGGCAGUAACUCCAGAAUGCAGAGGCUACACUACUGUGCUGAAUAAAUUGCAAUUUGAUGUAGUGAUCACUUUCAUUGUUUAUUUGUGUUACUUCUGAUCACUUUCCUUUAUUAUUUAGUUGCUGUUCAAAUAGCUAUCUACAAAGUGAGAUGUAAAUUAGAUUAAUACAAGCAAAGUCAUAAGUAAACUAUCACAUUUCUUUCCUGUUUAUAAAGUCCAGAAUUAUUUACCUAACUUUAGAAUCUGCCUCAUGAUUUGUGCUUCCAAAGAUUAUUCAGUGAACUCCUGGAGGUUUAUGUAGGCCAUUUAAUUUAGAAUUUAUUAGAUCAUGCUGAAUUUACAUGUGUCUCUUUUGAAAUUAGAAGCUUCCAGCCAAAGUGCAUAAACCCAGACUUGAAUAUGCAGAUCAAAGCAAGUCACAAUUUAAAUUAUAACUGCACCCAACUGACAAAAUACAUGGGCUGGUGGGGUAAGAAUCUUAGGUAAACCAGUCAGGUUCCCUUGCUGAACAGUUCUUUGUUUACAGAAGAACUUCUGUAGACACAUCUGGAACCCAGUUAUAUCCCAUGUACUACCAGCUGGUAACAACUUCCUGUCUCUAAUUACUGGCUAGCAAUAAAUGUCAAAUUCACACAACUCCAAAAAGUUGUAAACCCAUUAGAACACUUGUUUCUAAAGCAUUGUUACAUUUCCCCUUUCAAGACAUUAAAUCUCCAUGUGAAGUAAACUAAAUAUACAUCCUAUAAAAGAAAUCAAUAAAUCUAACGUUAAUGUACAUAAUGAAACAUAAACUCUGAACUGACACAGAUGGAACUCGUCAAAGGUAAUUUACACAGAAGAUCUAAAUGGCUUCACAGGCUAUUGAUUUAGAGUUUAAGUGGGACCAACUUAUAUACAGCCAAGGAAUUAAGAUACAAAGUGUUUCCAGACAAUCUUUCCUGCAAGAACUUGGCUCUGUUCCCAAAGGAAUUCAAAUCAACUGCAGCAAACUAAGGACAAGAAUUUGUCUGUAGUUGGUUGAUGUUAACAGACCAAAGUUAUUGUAUAAUGUGCAUGGUCCAAUUAUGUAACAAUGCUGAGUUAAAAUAGCUGUUAAAAAUAUGUUAUUCCAUACAUAGUUUCAGUAAACUGUCACUUUGGCUUUCAUAACUAUCUACUCCAAGACAAAUCCCCAGUUGUAUCAAUGAAAAAUACUGAUUGCAGUCUCCAGAUACUUCAAGAACCCCUCAACUCCCCCUGCUUUGUUUUUCAUUUGGUCACUAAAACUGAAUGCGUGUUAAGGCAUAUGUCCUACCUCAGAUGUAAUGGAAUAUGUCCUAACAUUAGUAAAUAUAUCAAAUACCUGCUAAUUAACAUCAAAUAAAUCAGUCACUAAUAUGUCAGUAAAUUCAUAGGCACAUUUUGGACCAUUAUACUUGUUUCUUCAGCUGUUUAUUAAUGUUUUUAAUGGUCAAGCUUAAGUCUUUUCUGUUCGCAACAAUAAUGUCAUUUCUCAUACGAAUUCCAGAGACCACAGUCUCCUCAUUCUUUUCCUGCAUACCUUGGAAACGUUAUAAUAGGUUUACAUUCCAUAAUCAUUUUUGGGGUAUUCUUAUAAUUUCCAUCCUUUCAUUGUAGUCUGCCAUUCCUUUCUACACCAUCUAUCUUUAAAAAUUAUUUUAGAUUAAGAAGAACAGUACAGAACAUUUCCUUUUGUUUCCAUUAACAAUAAUUAACAGUAGUUUUUACUCUUAUGUUUUGAGGACCAAAUGUGGACAGAUUUUUGUUUAAUCUGCAUUCCAUUUUAGGAGGGUUUUACUGCACUACUUUAUUGUCAUUUUCUUUUAGCUGGAAUAUGUUUAAAGAUUUUAUAACCUGAGGUAAAAAUAAACCUCAGCUUAAAGUAGGGUUAAAGGUGAAGACCAUUUUAGGAUGGAAAUAACAUGUUAGGUAGUCCUGCCCAUGGACAAUAAACAAUGAGUUUGAAGUUGACAAAAUGGAACUGAAAUAGUGCACAGUGUAUUUCUUGGCUGUACAUAUUUUGUAUGAGGUGUCUUGAGAUUGAACUGUAGCCUCCAUAGAGAGAAGCCUUUAGCACAGACAUAGCAAUUUUAAUUCCCCACAGUCAUUCAUAUCAUCUUUAUCAGUGCAAAUUGAAAUCAUUUCAUGCUGCAUUCAAACAUUCUCCUUUUCUUGGGAACAAGGAAUGUGGUCUGAAAUGAUUGCCAUCAUUUUGAAUUUAAGUUUUGGCACCAACCAUCAAUCUUCCUGCCAUAUUUAAUUUAUGAUUGUUUUCUUCAACAGUAAAAUUUUUGAACCAUAUUAUUUAGGUGCUUGGUUCACGUUUUGGCUGGGGCUAGGAGCCUGAUUAUGACACCAUGGAUGGUGGAUCAUACCAUCAGUAGCAGAGCAGUACCUGCUCUUUACAAUAGGAAAUGAGACUUUCGAUGUAGGAUGACAUGGCAGUGAUAAGAAAAUGAGUUCACUGGUACUGUUGUAAUCAUUCUCAGGACUUUGUUUGCAUAACAUUUAUGCAUGUAAUCCUGUGCUUCACCUGUUGUAUAAAUUUGUUAUUAAUGGAAAAGGCUGAGGAAUGCAUAUACAGCAUUGUUGUGUAUAGAAGGCUGUUAUGUCUUGUGCCUCUUUAAUAUUUAUUGGUGCCUUUUUAAAUGGCAAUGCCUUUUGGUAGAAAAAAUUAAAUAAAUGUAAAGAAAACAUGAUUACAGGUGGUAAGAUGUGUUUGAAUGUCAGUGAAGUGAGAAAUGUGUAUGAAUUUAAAUGUUGAUUUACCUCUACACUUAACUAAUUGAUGCAGCAUUAUGUAUUUCACUGUUGGGUUUGAAUUUUAAUUUUAAUGUUUCUGAAGUAAAACUGAAAUAAGAAACUGGUACAUGGAAAUUAUCAGUAAAAUUAUUGAUCCAACUAAUUUGGUACUGUAGGUCCAAAUGGUAGUUAGGAUCCAAUAUGUAUGGUGUAUGUGUAUGUUUACACGCAUAUGUAUGUGAGUGCAUGUAUGUAAACUCACCCUUUGUGUUUAAUCAUGCACGCUUUGAUAGAAGGAAGAUUAUUUAAAAUUGCGAGGUUAGAAUUCCUAUAAUGAUGAUUAUGAAAUGUAACUAUCUUGUGGAACUUGACAUCUUAUAAUUUGAUAGAAAUUACAGAUGUUUUCGAGAAACAUACUUUCUCAAUCUUCAAUCUUUCUCCUUGCUAUUUACUAUUUUGCUUUUUGGCUUGCUCUGAAGCAUCACAAAAUUUGUAUCAGACAACACAAUGUCAAGUUCCAGAAGAUACAAACAUAAAAUUCUCUUCAAAUAUAAAUCUGUUUUGAGAACUUUUGACUGAUAUGAGCACUUCCAGUUUGGUUGCAGUGGGCACUGUCAUUGAAGUAUAACUUCAGGCAAUUGCUUUUCAUAACACAGCCCAUAACUACAUCAUGAGGUCUUUAUAUGAUUUUGUGUGUUAAUGUAUAAGGUUUUCGUCUUAUUUAUAUGCUUUAGAUUAAAAAAUCAUAAACAUCUUAAGGGUUCACUCAGCAUGCCAGCAGCCAUUUAUGAUUUGUUUGACAUUGUCCUUGAAUUUUAUACAGGAAGUGUAGUAUACAUGAAGAAAUGUAUGCUAGUGUAAGAUGAAUUACAAAAAACAUAGAAGGUUCUAACAGCUUGCUGCCCCUCCUUUCCCUGGUUGCUGCUAAUCAUCGUGUGACACUUUUAACUGCUCUGAGGCCUGGCUGUAGUCAACACUUGUAGCAGAAGCAGAUCGGUCUCUAGUAGACUUGCUGCUCAUUGAAAUUAUAUUGCACUACUUCCCUGUCUUGUGGAUGACAAGAAGUUGGGUGGGAAGGAAGGGUAGUUGUGGUUGAUAGCGUUCUUAUUGUUAUUAUUAGGCAAGAGUUAUCUUUACCUACAAUUACUAAGGUGUCUCAUAAGUAGGGACAAGUCAGGAGUAGCUAGGCUGUACUAAGUUAUAAUAGGUGAUUUCUCAUUUAGGGUCAUACCAGGCAUAGCUCAGGCAGGACAGGAAGAUCCUAAUGCUACAGCCACAUACACCACACCAAGGUUUUGCACUUCACAUUGUUUAUUAAACCCUUUGUUAACACAAUCACACUGUUCUUAACAGAAACCAAUUUAUGCUUCCACUUAUGUGAAUACAAAACUUUAUAUGAAUGAUGUCACAAGAAAUUAUAAGGCAUCAGAGUGACACAAUUUUUUGCGUCUGAAUAAACCAAAAGUUGAACUCUCUGAAAUCCUGAGGUCUGUCAAGCCCCAGCAUCCAAGAGAAGUCCACUCCUUCAACAUGUGUUAUUGGUCAAUUUUGAAAACUAGGAAGUUUCCUAAUUUCGUGAAUUUUCAAUCAUAUUGUUUUGCCAUGCAAUUGUGCCUUUUACAUACCUAACACUAGACUUAACAGCUCCCUGAUGUAUCAGCUUGUCCCUCAUACUUAAAAUUUAUAGCUUAUCUUAACUGUCAGACCUUUCACAGUAGCUAAAACUACCAGAAUUCUAGAAAAUAUGGCAGAUGUUAUGUCCUGUCCACAUCGCAAUACUGGAACUAUGCCACUUGCUAAACAUAAGGUGACUAUCUGCCUGAUCUUGUUUAUUAUUUAUAUGGCCAUAAAUUAUUAAAUCUUAAUAUGGAUUAUGCUAGAAGAGUAUAAUGAACGGUUACAGCGUUAAAAAUAUAUACUAGUACUACCACAUACUUAAUGUAUAACAUAGUCAUGUAGAAGACAGUUCUCGCAAAAAAAAAAAAUUUAAGCAUCUGAAACGUUUGAAAGGACAUACAACCACAGACAAUAACAUCGAGUUAAUGUUCAAGUUUGUAACAAAAAUAUAUACCCCCGAAGAUGACAUUGUAGAUGUCAAAAUAUGUCAAGUAAACAGCCAACCUAAGUGUGUUGUAAUGGAUGGUAUAUGAUAAAUUAUAAUAAAUAAUGAAAUGGGUUGAAUCCUGCUUAGCACAUGGAUAUAUGAGUAUAUGUAUCCAUGACUACCAAUUAUCCCAAUCCUCACUGUGGAGUUUCUGACACUACAUGCGGUAACAUGUGUGGAAAGUUGUAAUUCAUUUUGUAGUAUUUAUCUCUCUGCCAAAAAAAGUAUCUGACCUUGGGCCAGGAAAACAAUGUUCUGUAUCAGGGUGGUUACAGUAUCUAAUCCCCUUCAAAGUAGGCCCCUUGUGACUCCACACACUUAGCCCAGCAGUCCUUCCAUCACUGGAAGGAAUUCUGGAAGGCUUGUUUUGGAAUGAUUUGCAGCUGCACCAUCACAUUUCCUAUAUGAUGUCCUCGCGGCUGUCAAAACGGGAGCCUUUUAGUGGUGUCUUCAAUCUCGGGAACAGCCAGAAAUCACAAAGAGCCAUGUCAGGAGAGUAGGGAGCCUGGCAAAACCUGUGGAAUGGUGUGCUUGACCAGGAAACCCUGGAUCAGGUGGUAUUCCCCCAAAUGACCCACGUUCAGGGUGUUAUAAGCUAUAUUCCUGUCAUCUCAGAAAUCGUUCACCACGUUUGUUCAGUGCAUGCCGUGAUUUCCCAAUGUAUUGCUAUCAAGACUGCCAUAAAUGAUACUUAACGUGUUUGUGGUAACAUUAGUCUAUGAAUUUCCUAACUGCUGCAGCUUUUCUGCAACAUCUCUGCUCUAAUUAAUUUAAAUAAACUAUUACAAAUGUUUGAAUCCGCAGAAUUGUGAGAUAUUACAAAAAUUUCUUUGCAUCUAUAUGAAAGAAUUUCAUAAUUAUAAUGUUAAAUUUCAAUAUGUUAUACAUCUGAGGCACUAUUCAUUAAAGUUUAGUCACAAAAAUAGGAAGAUAUGAAGUGGACAUCCAUGACUUGAAGCUGACCCUUAAUGUCCGGAAAAUGUGGGAACAGUCCUGUAAUAGUAUGUGUCUGUUCACAGAGUAACAUUGUAAGGAAACGUGUGCUUCAAUAAAUAUUAUUCACAUAGAAAUGUGAAAACAAAAUUCAUAGAAAGUGAAGGCAUAAGUACUUUCUGCUGUAUACGUUUUGUUUGUGAUGUUCUUCAUUCCUCCUCCAAAUCUGAACAAAUUACAUGACUCUGAAUUGACAAGGUAUAAAGCAUUUAGAAUAAACGUAACCCAGAUUAUGUCAGCUAUAUGUCCUUUUCAUUUCUCAUUUAUAUUAAUUAUAAUUUUUUGCAGAUGCAGAUCUGUUGGUGACAGGUUUAGUAACUGCAGAGGGAGACACUGUUAUAUCAUAUUUUGGUGAAAUCUACACCAUAUCGAACUGUGUCUGAAAGAACAUUUGUAAAUUUGAAUAAGAUCUAUAGUUUAUAUAAUCCAGAUUUUCAUGCACUCUUCUGUACUUAGAACUUACAUAAAGUUAAACCUGAGUGCCAUGCAAUGUGAGGGUUAUAGGAGACUGGUAAUGUUCCAAAAUGUAAAUAGCUGUAGACUUGCUGUAGUUUCCUGAGCAGUGAAUUUCGUCCAAAUAUGUUGAAUGGUUUUGGAAGGAAAGUGUGCAAACAGAAAGUAACUUCACAUUAUGCAGUCACGUUUCAAUUUCAUGCAGGGAACACAUUAUGACCAAGCCAGACUUCAAACUAUAUUUGUUAAAACAAUAGUCAAGAAGAAGCUGGCAGCUGGGGCUGUUAAUGUGACAUCCUUGCUUGACUGUCCACAUCUUGCAUAGGUUUAAUUAAAUUUGUAGAUAACGGUAUUUAUAAAUAGGAUGCAUUUAUACUUUAAAAUAUAUGUUUAUCUUUCACCUAAGUGUACAAUAAUACUUGUAUUAGACCAAUUUAAUAUAAAAUGUACAAUAUUUUGUAAUUCAAGAUGAAUGUAGAUUUUUUACAAAGGUGUGUAAGAAAUGAAUAUCAUAAUUCAGGUACCGUGAAGUGUGAACAGUAAUUUAUUGUAGUCAUUUGUAUAAAUUUUUUUCAUGACAUUAAUUGAACCUGGUCUUAAAUAUGUUCUGUAUAUAUGUCGAAUAAUAAAACUUCCAAGUUUUGUA